UUUCCUUAAUUUCACCCCUCAGAUUCUGUCACACACUGGCAAAAACAUAUUGGCAUUUUGGGGGAAGGGAUCCACUGAGGCGACACUUUUGGUGUAUCAAGUAUAUAAGGUUUGCACUCAAGACUGACAUUUACCGUAAUGGAAGCUGUUCAUAUGCCCCCAGGAAAGAAUGAACAAUUUAAUAGAAAAUGCUAAAGGAGUGAUAUUAGGGGGAGUUCCAUGUCUCCAGACCUUGUGCUGAUGAUCUCUGCCCUGCACAGUACGUUGCUGCUCAUUUCCAGAAGAGACCAAGAUAACUUCUCAGACUUCUCAAAUCUACUUGCCCUACUUGACAACACAUGUUGGCUGGGCUGACUGGAUCAAGAUUCUAUAAGCAGGAUCCUCACGGUUUCAAGUCCUUGCUGUUUUGGAUGAGACAGAGGCUAUUUCCUGCUCCCAUAACCACUCACUUCUUGCUGUGAAGCUUUCCUAGGCUGUUCUUGCUAAUACUAACAAAAUUAAUUAUGCUUAUCUGAUGACAAGUAUACAACCUAAAAUGCCAUCUUUAUAAAUAAGGCAAUAUUCAAUGGAGUGUGAUUUAUGGCCUUUCAUUUUUCCUAUACACCCUAUGUGCCAUAUAAAAUCUGGCUUUACAGUUUCAUAGAGGCUAUAAUCCCUUUCAGAGGGAAUAAAUCAUUUCCAAACAUAAUAUAAAAUAAGGAGUUAUA
This 707-nucleotide long non-coding RNA is filed under the name Homo sapiens (human). RNAcentral's name for it is "HSALNT0310199". The record is from RNAcentral. Lineage: Eukaryota; Metazoa; Chordata; Mammalia; Primates; Hominidae.